Molecule: ribosomal RNA, 454 nt
Filed under: uncultured Parapedobacter sp.
Lineage: Bacteria; Pseudomonadati; Bacteroidota; Sphingobacteriia; Sphingobacteriales; Sphingobacteriaceae
Description: partial 16S ribosomal RNA
Rfam family: Bacterial small subunit ribosomal RNA
Source: RNAcentral
ACGGGAGGCAGCAGUGAGGAAUAUUGGUCAAUGGGCGGAAGCCUGAACCAGCCAAGUCGCGUGAGGGAAGACGGCCCUACGGGUUGUAAACCUCUUCUGCGCGGGGGUAAAGUCGGGGACGGGUCCCCGAUUGCAAGUACCGCGCGAAAAAGGAUCGGCUAACUCCGUGCCAGCAGCCGCGGUAAUACGGAGGAUCCGAGUGUUAUCCGGAUUUAUUGGGUUUAAAGGGUGCGCAGGCGGGAUGUCAAGUCAGUGGUGAAAUGGUGCGGCUCAACCGUAGCAUUGCCGUUGAAACUGGCGUCCUUGAGUGCGAAUGAGGUACGCGGAACGUGUCAUGUAGCGGUGAAAUGCAUAGAUAUGACACAGAACACCGAUUGCGAAGGCAGGAUACCAUACCAUAUCUGACGCUCAGGCACGAAAGCGUGGGGAUCGAACAGGAUUAGAUACCCUGGUA